RNAcentral lists this long non-coding RNA (771 nucleotides) under Monodelphis domestica (gray short-tailed opossum). Its description in RNAcentral is "lncRNA (ENSMODG00000030819.2)". Lineage: Eukaryota; Metazoa; Chordata; Mammalia; Didelphimorphia; Didelphidae. The record is from RNAcentral.
CAACAGCGGGGCUGGAGGCAGAGUGGGAAGAGUUGAAAGGCUGACAUAACAGAUAUAGCCAAGAGCCUAAGCACAGAGAGAGAAGAAGAUCCAGGACAGGAUUGGCGAGCCUGUAAAGGAGACAUAGACUGCAUGAUCAGGCAAGUUGGAGGAGAACCAGGAGGGAAGACCAGAGAGAACGUCUACAUCGACCAUGUCAAAUGCCAUUGAGAGGUCAAGAGAGACCUUUCUCUCAAUUAUUUUCAAGGGCAGAGACUGGCAAAAUAUGCUGGUUUGGGUACAGAUGAGCUGGAUGACAUGGAGCAAAUCUUUCAACCUUGUAGCCUCAGUUUCCCUCUUUGGAAAAGAUGCAUACAUGUUCUUGAAGCGCUGUUGGAAUUCCAUCUUCAUUCUCUACAACCUCAGUCAGCAAAGACUGCGUCUCCUGCUCCUGGUAUUUCAGCCCCGGAGUUUUUUCCUCAUCUAGUUUAAUCUCAAUGAAAAAGCGUUCGUGACUCCUCCUGUUCCUCUGCCAAAGGAAGCCCCCGACCAAGGAAUGGGUGCCGACCUUUAUCGAUGGUGCCGGGGUGUAAAUGUUCUUUUUAUGAGCGGAAUUUCACUGUUCUGGGCAGGUGGGAGGCCAGGUCCUUAGAGAGAAAUGGGGAGAGCUGUAAAUCUGGGAGGAAAACAGCAGCUCUUGGGACAGGGCAUCAAAAAGGGCAGAAGAAAGGGAGACUAUGUGGCUGUUUGGUGUCAUAUGCAAACAUAAUAAAGGUACCUGAAAUGAUUUCA